Molecule: regulatory RNA element, 92 nt
Rfam family: TPP riboswitch aptamer (THI element)
About the family: Vitamin B(1) in its active form thiamin pyrophosphate (TPP) is an essential coenzyme that is synthesised by coupling of pyrimidine and thiazole moieties in bacteria.
Source: Rfam
UUAAUGGGCUAGGGGUGCUAAUUCAGUAGCUGAGAUCAAACCCUUUGAACCUGUGAGUUAAGACUCGCGUAGGGAAGCUUCAAUUGAAUUAU